GGCCCCGUAGUUCAGCUGAAUAGAACGUCAGAUUCCGGUUCUGAAGGUCACAGGUUUGAAUCCUGUCGGGGUCACUA
RNAcentral lists this transfer RNA (77 nucleotides) under Bacteroidetes bacterium HGW-Bacteroidetes-9. Its description in RNAcentral is "tRNA-Arg". It matches the Rfam family "tRNA". Rfam says of the family: Transfer RNA (tRNA) molecules are approximately 80 nucleotides in length. Lineage: Bacteria; Pseudomonadati; Bacteroidota. The record is from RNAcentral.